Molecule: RNA transcript, 2487 nt
Organism: Cylas formicarius (sweet potato weevil)
Lineage: Eukaryota; Metazoa; Arthropoda; Insecta; Coleoptera; Brentidae
Gene: mRRF2
Gene name: ribosome-releasing factor 2, mitochondrial
Exons: 12
Source: RefSeq, a predicted model, not a curated record
ACUAACCUUAGUACCUGCGAUCGGUAACCUAAAUGUUGGUUCAUUGUAUAAAUUAUUAUUUUUCAAAUGUUUUAUUAGAGAUAUUUUUAUAAUAUGUUAAAGACAAUAUCAAAACUUUGUAGUUCCUUUAAAACCAUUCAUAAAUUGUAUUACAGUUCUAAGGUGUUACAGAAUGUGGACAUUGAAUAUAUAAGGAAUAUUGGUAUACUUGCACAUAUCGAUGCCGGAAAAACAACGACCACAGAAAGAAUGUUGUAUUACGCAGGCUUAAUUAAUGAAAUGGGUGAAGUACAUCAUGGUAACACAGUAACAGAUUAUAUGGACCAAGAAAGGGAACGUGGUAUUACAAUAACAUCAGCUGCGGUAACAUUCUAUUGGAAAAACAAUCAGGUUACUAUUAUAGAUACCCCAGGCCAUAUAGAUUUUACCAUGGAAGUUGAACAAACCUUGAAUGUACUAGAUGGAGCAAUUAUUAUAUUAGAUGCCUCUGCAGGCGUUGAGGCCCAGACUUUAAUGGUUUGGAGACAAGCAGACAGGCACAAGAUUCCAAGAAUUAUUUAUGUUAAUAAAAUGGACAGGAGUGAUGCCAGCGUUCAGAUGUGUUGCACAUCAAUUGAGAAGAAAUUAGAGACUCCAACUUUUUUACUGCAGUUGCCCCUAAUUGAAAAUGGAAAAUUUUUAGGAAUAAUAGAUUUGGUUUCUAUGCAGUUGCUAAAAUAUAGCAGGAAAGAGAGAAAUGUAACUAAGAUACUAUUAUCAGAAUCUGAAUUUCCUAAAUAUUGGUGUGAUGCUAUGAAGGGACGAUCUCUUCUGCUUGAAAAAUUGGGCGAUUUUGAUGAUGAAUUUGCAAAUUUGAUAAUCUCAUCUAAUUCUUAUGACACAAUUAGCAGUGUUGAUGUUAUAAAAGUGUUAAACAAAAUUGUGGUUCAAAAGACUGGCGUUCCGGUGGUUUUGGGAAGUUCUUACAAAAAUAUUGGAGUCCAAUCGUUGAUGGAUGCCGUAAUACUUUAUUUACCCUCGCCCUCUCAAACGAAACAUUUUUAUUCAGCAUUUGAAGAUAAUUUUUGCGGACGGGCAUUUAAAGUUAGGCAUGACAAACAAAGAGGACCUUUGGUUUUUUUGAGAAUAUAUAACGGAUUGAUUAAGAAAAACCAAACCAUCUAUAAUGUACAAAGAGAGAAAUCUGAGGCGGCCGGUAGAGUUUACAUAGCGUACGCGGAUGAGUUUCAAGAAGCAUCUUCGGUUGGAGCUGGCAACAUCGCCGUAGUUUCGGGGCUUAAAAAAACGAUGUCUGGCGAUUUAUUAACCUCCUCGUUAUCAACAUAUCACAAAGCACAGAAAAAUUUCGCAAAGUUAUACAAAGAAACACAAACAGAUCUGUCCGAUAGUAUUUUCGGUGGUACGACUUACAUUCCGCCGCCAGUGUUUUUCUGUUCAAUCGAGCCUUCCAGCAUGGCGUCGCAAACGGUUCUCGAAAAUGUUUUGGCUGAGUUAGAAAGGGAGGAUCCAAGUUUAAGGGUGACUUAUGAUUCCGAAACCGGUCAAACAAUUCUGGCAGGUAUGGGCGAGCUUCAUUUGGACAUAAUAAGAGAUAGAAUAGUUAAGGAAUACAAGCUCGAUGUAGACCUGGGACCUUUACAAAUUGCCUAUCGCGAAACACCCGUCGAACAAGUAUCAGAGGUUUACGUCAACGAAUCUAAAAUAGGGAAAUUCCGUCAGUAUGUAAAACUCCAUCUAUCAAUAGUUCCGGGCGCAACGCAGAAUGACAAAGAUAUUUUAAAGUAUGAUAAAUCGCCGGACAACGCCAGCAACAUCGCCGCUAUAUUUCCCAAACAGCUUGUGGCCCUUAAACAUGGAAUUUUAAUUGGUUUAACGCAUGGUCCCAAAAUCAGCUCGCAGGUUAUGAAUUCGCAAGUAAUACUACACUGGCUAGAGGUCGGGCGAGGAACUUCCGAAACUUUUUUGUCGGCCACUGCAUCGCAGCUCAUUAAAAAGCUCUUAGAACAAUCUGGAACUAAUAUACUAGAACCGAUUAUGAAUUUGGAAAUACUUGCGCCAUCUGAACACGCGUCAGGCAUACUGCACGAUUUGGCAAGGAGGCGAGCGGUCGUAAAAGACGUUUCGACCCAAGGAAACACGCGAUCUGUGAAACCUUUUUGGAAAAAUUGGGAUUAUUUCAAAACCUGGAAAAAAUAUUUAAAAAAAAAGGGCCAGGAGGUGUUACUCGUGUAAAGAAAUUCCAGCAUCCUGCGUGGGAAAUAUCUCCGAAAACAUCCGAUUGCUCCCAAACCCGUGUGGUAAAAUCCCGGAAAUGCCCGAAAUGGUUCAGAUCUGUGGAAAACAAAACUGACGUGACGGGAGUAGAAAAACCAGUUUACCGAACGCGUUACAUGCUAGUCUUUUUCUACGAUCCUUCGUUUUUGGGUACAUUUUUGCAAAACAACACGACUGACAUGAUCGUCAGGAUUGACAAACGUUAAAGUUCAA